UUUUGAGGAGGAUACUGCGGGAU
RNAcentral lists this unclassified non-coding RNA (23 nucleotides) under Chlamydomonas reinhardtii. RNAcentral's name for it is "small RNA Cre_4176". The record is from RNAcentral. Lineage: Eukaryota; Viridiplantae; Chlorophyta; Chlorophyceae; Chlamydomonadales; Chlamydomonadaceae.